AGAGUUUGAUCAUGGCUCAGGACGAACGCUGGCGGCGUGCCUAAUACAUGCAAGUCGAGCGAAUGGAAGGGAGCUUGCUCCCGACCGUUAGCGGCGGACGGGUGAGUAACACGUGGGCAACCUGCCUAUAAGACUGGGAUAACUUCGGGAAACCGGAGCUAAUACCGGAUAGUUCUUUUCCUCUCAUGAGGGAAAGGGGA
This 200-nucleotide ribosomal RNA is filed under the name uncultured bacterium. RNAcentral's name for it is "partial 16S ribosomal RNA". It matches the Rfam family "Bacterial small subunit ribosomal RNA", at positions 8 to 204 of the family's 1533-position model. The record is from RNAcentral.